This 1077-nucleotide long non-coding RNA is filed under the name Ananas comosus (pineapple). RNAcentral's name for it is "long non-coding RNA (ACOM_LNC008331)". The record is from RNAcentral. Lineage: Eukaryota; Viridiplantae; Streptophyta; Magnoliopsida; Poales; Bromeliaceae.
AAUUAGUUAUCUUAACAAAAAAUACAAAAUAUAUUUUAGAUCAAUUGAUCGUUACAUAAUAUGGAUCUUCGAUUAGAAAAUUCUAUCAUCGAAAAAUGCAUAAAAGUAUUCAAAUACUUGCUACUAAUAAAUGUAUUCAGUAUUCUACCUUAAAUUUUAAAAUUAAAAUUUAAUAUAAUAAAAUAAUUCACAUAUAAUUCUAAAUUUAAAGUAACAAACAGUCUCUAGCACAAAUGAUAAAAAGUGCGAUUGUAGAUACUUAAUAUUUUAAGUUCGAAACUUAAUUACUUCACAUUUUCAGCUAAGUUCAUAUUUUUUUUAAAAAAAUAAACGAAGUGGAUCGCACGCUAUCAUUCUCUCAAAACAAAAAAAAAACCCAUUUAAUUUAUAUGUUUUUCUUAUAAAACUUUCUAAAUAUCACUUAACAUAUCAAGCAAACUAGUUAAUUAUAAAACCUCAAUGACAAAAUUGUUUAUAAUAAGAGUGCACAGUGCACCUGGUGCAUGAAUAGAUGUUACAAUUGCUGGCAAAACGGACCCACACGUUGAACCGCUUAAAGUGACACCUACGGUGGGAGCGUGGGACAACACUUAAGCGGGACCCACAAAUAAAAGUGUGAAGCUAUGUUUUGUGCCAGGGAUAUUCCGGAAAAACACGGGAUAUUUCCUAAUUGUAACUAAACAAUAGUGCUGCAUUGGGUUGGAGAACUAAAUUUUGGAGAACAAUUUUUGUUAUUUUCGAGAACAAGAAAUAUUUCGGUACAAGAUAGAACAAUUGUAAAUUUGUGUUUGGAUGCAUUCGAGGAUAUUCUAGAGGAUAUCCUUAAUAGCGUUUAGAUAAAAAGUCUAGAACAACGUCUAAAUAUAUUUUUAAAAAUAAAAUAAUUAAUUUAUAUUAGUAUAUUUUAUAUCAAAUUAUUUAUAAAAUUAUUUUAUAUAGUAAUUUAUAAUAUAAUAUUUUAUGUAAGAAUCUAAUUUAAAAUAAUAUAUAUUAUUUUAUUAUAUAUAAUAAUUUAUUUUAUGUAAUAAUUUAUUUUCUAUAAUUUAUUCAUAAUAUAUUAAUGAAUAAAGUAUAAUA